CGUGGAGGGUGAGAGCCCCGUCCAACCCACACAGGACACGCCGUACGAGAGCGUUUCAGGCGAGUCGGGUAGCUUGGGAAUGCUGCUCUAAUCGGUGGUAAAUCUCAUCGAAGGCUAAAUAGCGGCUGGAGACCGAUAGCGAACAAGUACCGUGAGGGAAAGAUGACAAGCACUUUGAAAAGAGGGUGAAAAGAGCCUGAAACCGUCAUGGGGGAAGCGGAUCGCGUUGGCCUGGUGGGCGCCUGUGUGUUCAGCCUUCGGGUGCAUUGGCACAGGUGCUUAUCCGCUGUGGGUUUUCGGGGGUCGAUUUUGGAUCCCUGGAGGCUGAGGGCUCCCUUCGGGUGAGGACAGCGGAGUGACGACGCGAUACGACCCGUCUUGAAACACGGACCAAGGAGUCUAGCGCGGGUGCGAGUCGGAGGGUGCAAGCCCGUGGGCGAAGUGAAAGCGAGUGUAAAAACGAGCAGUUUGGGGCGGCAUAAGAUCGUUGAUCUCAAGACCGACCCAGAGCAGUUGCGCUGGGACCCGAAAGAUGGUGAACUAUGCCGGAGUAGGGCAAAGCCAGAGGAAACUCUGGUGGAGGCUCGUAGCGGUGCUGACGUGCAAAUCGCUCGUCCAACUUGGGUAUAGGGGCGAAAGACUAAUCGAACCAUCUAGUAGCUGGUUCCCUCCGAAGUUUCUCUCAGGAUAGCGGGCCGACAAGUUGUUUUGUGCGGUAAAGCGAAUGAUUAGCGCACGUGGGGCCAUUUCGGCUUCAGGCGAUUCUCAAACUUUAAAUGCGCAAGGGUGUCGCUGCUUAAUUGAGCGGCACCGCUAAAAACGUCGGCCCUGUGGGCCACUUUUGGUAAGCAG
RNAcentral lists this ribosomal RNA (852 nucleotides) under Furcellaria lumbricalis. RNAcentral's name for it is "eukaryotic LSU rRNA". It matches the Rfam family "Eukaryotic large subunit ribosomal RNA", at positions 202 to 1147 of the family's 3401-position model. The record is from RNAcentral. Lineage: Eukaryota; Rhodophyta; Florideophyceae; Gigartinales; Furcellariaceae.